UAUAAUGGGUCAGCGACUUAUAUUCUGUAGCAAGGUUAACCGUAUAGGGGAGCCGAAGGGAAACCGAGUCUUAACUGGGCGUUAAGUUGCAGGGUAUAGACCCGAAACCCGGUGAUCUAGCCAUGGGCAGGUUGAAGGUUGGGUAACACUAACUGGAGGACCGAACCGACUAAUGUUGAAAAAUUAGCGGAUGACCUGUGGCUGGGGGUGAAAGGCCAAUCAAACCGGGAGAUAGCUGGUUCUCCCCGAAAGCUAUUUAGGUAGCGCCUCGUGAACUCAUCUUCGGGGGUAGAGCACUGUUUCGGCUAGGGGGCCAUCCCGGCUUACCAACCCGAUGCAAACUACGAAUACCGAAGAAUGUUAUCACGGGAGACACACGGCGGGUGCUAACGUCCGUCGUGAAGAGGGAAACAACCCAGACCGCCAGCUAAGGUCCCAAAGUCAUGGUUAAGUGGGAAACGAUGUGGGAAGGCCCAGACAGCCAGGAUGUUGGCUUAGAAGCAGCCAUCAUUUAAAGAAAGCGUAAUAGCUCACUGGUCGAGUCGGCCUGCGCGGAAGAUGUAACGGGGCUAAACCAUGCACCGAAGCUGCGGCAGCGACGCUUAUGCGUUGUUGGGUAGGGGAGCGUUCUGUAAGCCGUUGAAGGUGGUCUGUGAGGGCUGCUGGAGGUAUCAGAAGUGCGAAUGCUGACAUAAGUAACGAUAAAGCGGGUGAAAAGCCCGCUCGCCGGAAGACCAAGGGUUCCUGUCCAACGUUAAUCGGGGCAGGGUGAGUCGACCCCUAAGGCGAGGCCGAAAGGCGUAGUCGAUGGGAAACAGGUUAAUAUUCCUGUACUUGGUGUUACUGCGAAGGGGGGACGGAGAAGGCUAUGUUAGCCGGGCGACGGUUGUCCCGGUUUAAGCAUGUAGGCGGAGGUUCCAGGUAAAUCCGGUACCUUUUAACGCUGAGGUGUGAUGACGAGGCACUACGGUGCUGAAGUAACAAAUGCCCUGCUUCCAGGAAAAGCCUCUAAGCAUCAGGUAACAU
RNAcentral lists this ribosomal RNA (1026 nucleotides) under Enterobacter cloacae. RNAcentral's name for it is "partial 23S ribosomal RNA". It matches the Rfam family "Bacterial large subunit ribosomal RNA", at positions 611 to 1637 of the family's 2925-position model. The record is from RNAcentral. Lineage: Bacteria; Pseudomonadati; Pseudomonadota; Gammaproteobacteria; Enterobacterales; Enterobacteriaceae.